UGGGGAAUCUUGCACAAUGGGCGAAAGCCUGAUGCAGCAACGCCGCGUGCGGGAAGACAGCCCUAGGGUUGUAAACCGCUUUCAGCAGGGAAGAAACUGACGGUACCUGCAGAAGAAGAUGCGGCCAACUACGUGCCAGCAGCCGCGGUGACACGUAGGCAUCAAGCGUUAUCCGGAUUUAUUGGGCGUAAAGAGCUCGUAGGCGGUUCGGUAAGUCGGGUGUGAAAACUCUGGGCUCAACCCAGAGAGGCCACUCGAUACUGCUGUGACUAGAGUGCGGUAGGGGAGCGGGGAAUUCCUGGUGUAGCGGUGAAAUGCGCAGAUAUCAGGAGGAACACCAGUGGCGAAGGCGCUGCUCUGGGCUGUAACUGACGCUGAGGAGCGAAAGCAUGGGUAGCAAACAGGAUUAGAUACCCUGGUAGUCCAUGCCGUAAACGUUGGGCACUAGGUGUGGGUCUCAACCAACGAGAUCCGCGCCGUCGCUAACGCAUUAAGUGCCCGCCUGGGAGUACGGUCGCAAGACU
RNAcentral lists this ribosomal RNA (524 nucleotides) under uncultured bacterium. Its description in RNAcentral is "bacterial SSU rRNA". It matches the Rfam family "Bacterial small subunit ribosomal RNA", at positions 355 to 895 of the family's 1533-position model. The record is from RNAcentral.